This 406-nucleotide ribosomal RNA is filed under the name uncultured bacterium. RNAcentral describes it as "partial 16S ribosomal RNA". It matches the Rfam family "Bacterial small subunit ribosomal RNA", at positions 30 to 526 of the family's 1533-position model. The record is from RNAcentral.
AUUGAACGCUGGCGGCAGGCCUAACACAUGCAAGUCGAACGAGUGGCGGACGGGUGAGUAAUGUAUGGGAAACUGCCCGAUGGAGGGGGAUAACUACUGGAAACGGUAGCUAAUACCGCACAACAUCGGAUGUGCCCAGAUGGGAUUAGCUAGUAGGUGGGGUAACGGCUCACCUAGGCGAAGAUCCCUAGCUGGUCUGAGAGGAUGACCAGCCACACUGGAACUGAACCACGGUCAAGACUCCUACGGUAGGCAGCAGUGGUGAAUAUUGCACAAUGUGCGCAAGCCUGAUGCAUCCAUGCCGCGUGUAUGAAGACGGCCUUCGGGUUGUAAAGUUCUUUCAGCGAGGAGGCGUUACUCGCAGAAGAAGCACCGGCUAACUCCGUGCCAGCAGCCGCGGUAAUAC